Molecule: long non-coding RNA, 1208 nt
Organism: Bufo bufo (common toad)
Lineage: Eukaryota; Metazoa; Chordata; Amphibia; Anura; Bufonidae
Exons: 3
Source: RefSeq, a predicted model, not a curated record
UGUAGUUUCAUCCUGAAGGCUUCUUUUUAUCUGUCGCCACAUCCUGCAAAUUGCCUGAAUGUGUUUGCAACUUGAGGAAUGUGACUACACUGGGUUUGUUAGAAGUCUGCAAACAUGGGGAAACAUAUGUCUGCAUCAGAGCUGUAGGCACAAAACAGUAGCAUAUUUUAAAUCUUUUAAAGGGGUUGUCCAGGCUUUUACUAUUGAUGACCUAUCAUAUCCUGAGGAUAGAACAUCAACAGUAAAAGCCUGGACAACCUCUUUAAAGAGUAACUAAACCUAUGAAUGAAAUUGAAUAUGAUGUCCCUAAUGCCCUAAAAAAAAAACUCCAAUAUACUUUAUUUAUUAAUUUUGUAUUUUUUUUUUUGUGUUUUUCCUACCUAAAGCACACCAUUCACUCUGCGCUUAAAUUCAGUUCUCCGUACCCGACAGCUCAGCAGUGUACGGAGUGUGAAAUUUAUGAAUGGGCCGCAGCAGCAAUGUGUGCUCCUGCACGUGCUCCCCGGGGGAUUACUAACUACCCUGUACCCAUGUACUAUGCCAGGAUUAGCUGAGCGGAGCGGCUUCUGACUGUUCCUGCUCCGUUAGGCUAAGAGUCCUGCAUGUCACCUCUUAGCUUAGCGGAGUAGGCAGAAGCAGGAGCCCGCUCCGCUCAGCUAAUCCUGGCAUAGUACAUGGAUACAGGGUACCCUUGUGCUAUGCCAGGAGUUAGUAAUCCUCCAGGGGGCACAGGCAGAAGCAGCAAUAUGCGUUCCUGCCCAUACUCCCUGCGCUGCUGCUGCCCCAUUCAUAAAUUUGGUGGGAAAAACACAAAGAAAAAUACAAAAUUUAUUUUAAAAAAAGUAUAUUGGAAAAAGUUUUUUUAGGCCAUUAAGGAUAUCAUAUUAAAUUUCAUUCAAAAGGUUUAGUUACUCUUUAAGACUUUGCAACCAUUAUUUAUUACCCUGAUGCAUCUUAAAUACAGAGGUGUACACCCUUUGAGUCUAAUUCAAUUACGAAGUGUGACUGCAGUCAUCAGCAGAAACUGCACCUCCCCUCCCAUAUGCCUGAUCACUCUCAAAGGGGUCUAUGAAGGUGAGAGUGGGGAUUUGUUUAGCAAGGUCAUCACACUGGAAUAGCUGGUGAUCACUUGCUUUAUUUUUACAGGUGAUCUUCUUUCCCUGGAUAACAAAGUUAGGCCUCAGUGCACACGACCGUUGUUUUAUUCC